AGCAGCCGCGGUAAUUCCAGCUCCAAUAGCGUAUAUUAAAGUUGUUGCAGUUAAAAAGCUCGUAGUUGAAUUUCGAGACCGGUUUACUGGUCGUGCUUUUGUACGUACUGGUAUUAUUGGUUUCUCCUUUCUGACGAAUCAUAAUGCCAUUAAUUUGGUGUUUUGGGGAAUCAGGACUGUUACUUUGAAAAAAUUAGAGUGUUUAAAGCAGGCUCACGCUUGAAUACAUUAGCAUGGAAUAACGAAAUAGGACGUUUGAUUUUAUUUUGUUGGUUUCUAGGAUCGACGUAAUGAUUAAUAGGGAUAGUUGGGGGCAUUAGUAUUCAAUUGUCAGAGGUGAAAUUCUUGGAUUUAUUGAAGACUAACUACUGCGAAAGCAUUUGCCAAGGAUGUUUUCAUUAAUCAAGAACGAAAGUUAGGGGAUCGAAGACGAUCAGAUACCGUCGUAGUCUUAACCAUAAACUAUGCCGACUAGGGAUCGGA
This 483-nucleotide ribosomal RNA is filed under the name uncultured Glomus. Its description in RNAcentral is "SSU rRNA". It matches the Rfam family "Eukaryotic small subunit ribosomal RNA", at positions 569 to 1057 of the family's 1831-position model. The record is from RNAcentral. Lineage: Eukaryota; Fungi; Glomeromycota; Glomeromycetes; Glomerales; Glomeraceae.